GAUGAAGAACGCAGUGAAAUGCGAUAAGUAGUGUGAAUUGCAGAAUUCAGUGAAUCAUCGAAUCUUUGAACGCACAUUGCGCCCGUCAGUAUUCUGGCGGGCAUGCCUGUUCGAGCGUCAUUACGCCCCUCAAGUCCCCUGUGGACUUGGUGUUGGGGAUCGGCGAGGCUGGUUUUCCAGCACAGCCGUCCCUUAAAUUAAUUGGCGGUCUCGCCGUGGCCCUCCUCUGCGCAGUAGUAAAACACUCGCAACAGGAGCCCGGCGCGGUCCACUGCCGUAAAACCCCCCAACUUUUUAUAGUUGACCUCGAAUCAGGUAGGACUACCCGCUGAACUUAAGCAUAUCAAUAAGCGGAGGA
RNAcentral lists this unclassified non-coding RNA (358 nucleotides) under soil metagenome. Its description in RNAcentral is "partial contains 5.8S ribosomal RNA, internal transcribed spacer 2, and large subunit ribosomal RNA". The stretch from base 1 to 120 matches the Rfam family "5.8S ribosomal RNA", at positions 35 to 154 of the family's 154-position model. The record is from RNAcentral.